This 489-nucleotide ribosomal RNA is filed under the name uncultured bacterium. RNAcentral describes it as "bacterial SSU rRNA". It matches the Rfam family "Bacterial small subunit ribosomal RNA", at positions 30 to 494 of the family's 1533-position model. The record is from RNAcentral.
ACUAAACGCUGGCGGCGUGCCUAACACAUGCAAGUCGAACGAGAAAGUUGGCUUCGGCCGAUGAGUAAAGUGGCGCACGGGUGAGUAACGCGUGGAUAAUCUGCCCUUUAGUUUGGAAUAACGUACCGAAAGGUGCGCUAAUACCGGAUAAUACUGAAUGACUACUGUCGUUUAGUCAAAGAAGGCUUCUGUUUACAUGCUUUUGCUGAAGGAUGAGUCCGCGUACCAUUAGCUAGUUGGUAGGGUAAUGGCCUACCAAGGCGACGAUGGUUAGCUGGUCUGAGAGGAUGAUCAGCCACACUGGAACUGAGACACGGUCCAGACUCCUACGGGAGGCAGCAGUGAGGAAUAUUGCGCAAUGGGGGCAACCCUGACGCAGCAACGCCGCGUGAGUGAGGAAGGUUUUCGGACCGUAAAGCUCUGUCGAGCGGGAAGAAAUGCAUGGUGGCUAAUAUCCAUCAUGCUUGACGGUACCGCUAAAGGAGCACC